RNAcentral lists this small nuclear RNA (106 nucleotides) under Cercocebus atys (sooty mangabey). The record is from RNAcentral. Lineage: Eukaryota; Metazoa; Chordata; Mammalia; Primates; Cercopithecidae.
GUGCUCACUUUGGUGGCACAUACAAUAAAAUUGGAAAGAUACAGAGAUUAGCAUGACCCCCUGCACAAAAGAUGACACACGCAUUCAUGAAACUGUCCAUAAAAAA